UAGCAGUAUUUAGGGACGGAGGGAGUAUAUGCUUGUCAAGAAUUUAUUUAGUACAGAACAAGAAUAGACAAUAGAUAAUAAUCUUGCAUUGUAUUCCAUAUUGCUGCUCUCACACUAAUAAUUAACACUUAACAUUCACUAAAAAAUAAUAAGUUACUAGCCAAUAAAUAAUAGCAUCUAGCGAAUUUCUUAAUUUAAAAAUUAGAACGUUAAACAACCACAUCAUAAAAUAAAAUUCCUCAGCUAACAAUUAUUUUUAAAAUUCUAAAUUCUUUAGUCAUCGAAGAGAAACCUUCGGAUAUCCUAUUUUAAACAUCGGAUAAUCCGCAUAAAAUUUAUGGAUAAUCCAUAUCCGCCGGAUUUUACCUAUUCCAUAUCCUACCCAGUAUCCGCAGACAAUCGGAUUCGGAUUAUCCGUAUCCGCAUAGAUGUUAAAAAUUCUUCUAAAUAUUCUCAAAAUUCGGUUUCGGAUCGGUUUGGAGAAUUAUCCACACCACUUUCACCCCUAAUUCUUCGUCACAUCGAAUCUUGUGGCACAUAACACUAAAUAUAGAUAAAAAAAUAGCUAAUUACACAAUUUAUCUGUAAUUUGCGAGACGAAUCUGUUGAACCUAAUUAGUCUAUGAUUGAAUAUUAUUUAUCAAAUACAAACGAAAAUGCUACAGUUUCUAUUUUGAAAAAAAAAUAAAAGUAAACAAUGCCUC
RNAcentral lists this long non-coding RNA (704 nucleotides) under Sorghum bicolor (sorghum). RNAcentral describes it as "long non-coding RNA (SBIC_LNC010772)". Lineage: Eukaryota; Viridiplantae; Streptophyta; Magnoliopsida; Poales; Poaceae. The record is from RNAcentral.